UUUAACCCCUAUUAAUAUUGAUAAUAAUAUCAUCUGUAUUUUUUUUUUUUGUGGUUAGCAAUGGUAAUUGUAUGGGCAUGACCAAUUCUUCACAGCACUAACAAGAGUCAAGAGACCAGAAGUUGCCAAUGUUUGCUGUGUUUUUUGCAUGUCAUCAUUACACGAGUCCGGGGCAAUCAUGACAAAUAGCAAGAUGUGUUCUUU
Molecule: long non-coding RNA, 204 nt
Filed under: Glycine max (soybean)
Lineage: Eukaryota; Viridiplantae; Streptophyta; Magnoliopsida; Fabales; Fabaceae
Description: long non-coding RNA (GMAX_LNC001328)
Source: RNAcentral